RNAcentral lists this ribosomal RNA (299 nucleotides) under uncultured Polynucleobacter sp. Its description in RNAcentral is "partial 16S ribosomal RNA". It matches the Rfam family "Bacterial small subunit ribosomal RNA", at positions 1 to 304 of the family's 1533-position model. Lineage: Bacteria; Pseudomonadati; Pseudomonadota; Betaproteobacteria; Burkholderiales; Burkholderiaceae. The record is from RNAcentral.
UGACGAGUUUGAUCCUGGCUCAGAUUGAACGCUGGCGGCAUGCCUUACACAUGCAAGUCGAACGGCAGCACGGGUGCUUGCACCUGGUGGCGAGUGGCGAACGGGUGAGUAAUACAUCGGAACGUACCUUAUCGUGGGGGAUAACGCAGCGAAAGUUGCGCUAAUACCGCAUACGCCCUGAGGGUAAGCGGGGACCGUAAGGGCGUCGACGUCGAUUAGAGCGGCCGAUGUCUGAUUAGCUUGUUGGUGAGGUAAAAGCUCACCAAGGCGAUGAUCAGUAGCUGGUCUGAGAGGACGAU